AUCUUCAAAUUUCCUAUAAAUAUACGAACAUCUGCAAUCCAUUCACGAGAAACGUUUUACGUUUUUUUUUUUUUCUUAUCCGAUUAGUAAAGAAAUUUUUGUAUCGAAUAUAAUGUUAUUUUUCUAUUGUGGAACGAUGAAUGGCAGGCAUUGAAACUUACCAGGUUGGAAACGCACGAUAAAGUAUCUUUUCUUUCGCUAUCUUCGUUUCUUCUCGAAUUUCCACAGUUAUAUUCCCUCAAAUAAGAAAAGAAC
This is a long non-coding RNA of Apis florea (little honeybee), 255 nucleotides long. NCBI's taxonomy places the organism in Eukaryota, Metazoa, Arthropoda, Insecta, Hymenoptera, Apidae. The record is from RefSeq and is a predicted model, not a curated record.